UGGGGAAUUGUUCGCAAUGGGCGCAAGCCUGACGACGCAACGCCGCGUGGAGGAUGAAGACCUUCGGGUCGUAAACUCCUUUCGACCGAGAUGAAUUUCCGCCGACCUAACACGUCGGCGGGGUGACAGUAUCGAGGGAAGCAGCCCCGGCUAACUCCGUGCCAGCAGCCGCGGUAAUACGGGGGGGGCAAGCGUUGUUCGGAAUUACUGGGCGUAAAGGGUUCGUAGGUGGCCCGCUAAGUCACACGUGAAAUCCCUCAGCUUAACUGGGGAACUGCGUGUGAGACUGGCAGGCUUGAGUGCAGGAGAGGAACGCGGAAUUCCAGGUGUAGCGGUGAAAUGCGUAGAUAUCUGGAGGAACACCGGUGGCGAAGGCGGCGUUCUGGACUGUAUCUGACACUGAUGAACGAAAGCCAGGGGAGCAAACG
Molecule: ribosomal RNA, 428 nt
Filed under: uncultured bacterium
Lineage: Bacteria
Description: bacterial SSU rRNA
Rfam family: Bacterial small subunit ribosomal RNA
Source: RNAcentral